This 324-nucleotide ribosomal RNA is filed under the name Pheidole sp. a RA0557. Its description in RNAcentral is "partial 12S ribosomal RNA". The record is from RNAcentral. Lineage: Eukaryota; Metazoa; Arthropoda; Insecta; Hymenoptera; Formicidae.
UUAUAAUUAAGAUUAAUUAAUAAAAGAUUAAAUGUGAACAUUAAAUUUAAAAAAUUUGGCGGUAUUUUAAAUAGUUAGAGGAAUUUGUUAAUUAAAUGAUGCCCCACGAUUGGAGUGUCCUAAUUAAGUUUUUAUAUAUUGUUGUAUAAAAAUUAUUUUAUAAGAAUAAUCAUUAAAAUAUUUAAUUUAAUUUGAAUAUAAAUCAAAAUGUAGAAUUAUUAGGUAGAUAUGAAUUACAAUUUAAUAUAAUAUUGGAAUUAUUUUUUUAAUUAAAAUAAUGAAAGAGGAUUUAAGAGUAAAUUUAAAGAAAUUUUUAGAUUGAAA